AGGGGUGUCAAAAUGGAUAA
This 20-nucleotide non-coding RNA is filed under the name Arabidopsis thaliana (thale cress). The record is from RNAcentral. Lineage: Eukaryota; Viridiplantae; Streptophyta; Magnoliopsida; Brassicales; Brassicaceae.